RNAcentral lists this long non-coding RNA (589 nucleotides) under Oryza brachyantha (malo sina). RNAcentral's name for it is "long non-coding RNA (OBRA_LNC001959)". Lineage: Eukaryota; Viridiplantae; Streptophyta; Magnoliopsida; Poales; Poaceae. The record is from RNAcentral.
UUUUAGGUUUAUUCUCAAUGCCGUAUUGCACCCAAAUACUUAAAUCGGUCUCCAGUUGCAUCAAAUCUAGCGGUUGAUAUUGUGCAAGGGGAGAGAUUGACUGCUUUGCUAAUUACUCUCUACUGCUAAUACUAGACCGACAGAACAAAAUUUAGAGGGAGGCAUUGCUCACUAUCGACAUGAUGCAAAAUAUCUGCCUUGAUGCAAAACAUAUGCCUCCUCCUUCCUUAUCUCUACCCUCAAGCUUAUAACCGUAUUAUCUCUUCUCCCUCACUUUUGUUGCAUAUGAUCCAAUAUGAGUUAAGCGACAUGUAGAUUCUAACUAGUCCACCAAAGAGGCCCUUAGCUAAUUGCUACUUUAAACAUCACUCCAAAGGACAUUGUGUUCCUAGAUUCCUCCCAAUCCUACCUGACUCAUUUUUUUUCCAUGAGUCAUAGUGGCCAAGUGCAUACAACAAUAUGAAGCAUGUACACAUUGUUAUAGUAUUACCAUUACAAGUCACUAAUUUAUAUGGUCAUGUAUGCUAGGGUCUUCAGUUCAGAUCACAUAGUUGACAUAUGCUCGUACGUACUCCCUCCAUUCCAGACU